GACGAACGCUGGCGGCGUGCUAACACAUGCAAGUCGAACGGACAGACAGAGAGCUUGCUCUCUUGAAGUUAGUGGCGAACGGGUGAGUAACGCGUAAUCAACCUGCCCUUCAGAGGGGGAUAACAACGGGAAACCGUUGCUAAUACCGCGUACGAUUCAUGAACGGCAUCGUUUAUGACUGAAAGGUGGCCUCUAUGUAUAAGCUAUCGCUGAAGGAGGGGGUUCCGUCUGAUUAGCUAGUUGGAGGGGUAACGGCCCACCAAGGCAAUGAUCAGUAGCCGGUCUGAGAGGAUGAACGGCCACAUUGGGACUGAGACACGGCCCAAACUCCUACGGGAGGCAGCAGUGGGGAAUCUUCCGCAAUGGACGAAAGUCUGACGGAGCAACGCCGCGUGAGUGAUGAAGGUCUUCGGAUUGUAAAGCUCUGUUAAUCGGGACGAAAGAGUUCUGCGUGAAUAAUGCAGAAAAGUGACGGUACCGGAAUAGAAAGCCACGGCUAACCACGUGCCAGCCGCCGCAGUAA
This 523-nucleotide ribosomal RNA is filed under the name uncultured bacterium. RNAcentral describes it as "partial 16S ribosomal RNA". It matches the Rfam family "Bacterial small subunit ribosomal RNA", at positions 28 to 523 of the family's 1533-position model. The record is from RNAcentral.